AUUGAACGCUGGCGGCAGGCCUAACACAAGCAAGUCGGACGGUAGCACAGAGGAGCUUGCUCCUCGGGUGACGAGUGGCGGACGGGUGAGUAAUGUCUGGGGAUCUGCCCGAUAGAGGGGGAUAACCACUGGAAACGGUGGCUAAUACCGCAUAACGUCGCAAGACCAAAGAGGGGGACCUUCGGGCCUCUCACUAUCGGAUGAACCCAGAUGGGAUUAGCUAGUAGGCGGGGUAAUGGCCCACCUAGGCGACGAUCCCUAGCUGGUCUGAGGGGAUGACCAGCCACACUGGAACGGAGACACGGUCCAGACUCCUACGGGAGGCAGCAGUGGGGAAUAUUGCACAAUGGGCGCAAGCCUGAUGCAGCCAUGCCGCGUGUAUGAAGAAGGCCUUCGGGUUGUAAAGUACUUUCAGCGGGGAGGAAGGCGAUGUGGUUAAUAACCUUGUCGAUUGACGUUACCCGCAGAAGAAGCACCGGCUAACUCCGUGCCAGCCGCCGCCGUAA
RNAcentral lists this ribosomal RNA (506 nucleotides) under uncultured bacterium. RNAcentral describes it as "partial 16S ribosomal RNA". It matches the Rfam family "Bacterial small subunit ribosomal RNA", at positions 29 to 523 of the family's 1533-position model. The record is from RNAcentral.